UACGAAGGGGACUAGCGUUGUUCGGAAUCACUGGGCGUAAAGCGCACGUAGGCGGAUGUGUCAGUCAGGGGUGAAAUCCCGGGGCUCAACCUCGGAACUGCCUUUGAUACAGCACGUCUCGAGUCCGGAAGAGGUGGGUGGAAUUCCUAGUGUAGAGGUGAAAUUCGUAGAUAUUAGGAAGAACACCGGUGGCGAAGGCGGCCCACUGGUCCGGUACUGACGCUGAGGUGCGAAAGCGUGGGAGCAAACAGG
RNAcentral lists this ribosomal RNA (252 nucleotides) under uncultured bacterium. RNAcentral describes it as "partial 16S ribosomal RNA". It matches the Rfam family "Bacterial small subunit ribosomal RNA", at positions 524 to 776 of the family's 1533-position model. The record is from RNAcentral.